This 250-nucleotide ribosomal RNA is filed under the name uncultured bacterium. RNAcentral's name for it is "partial 16S ribosomal RNA". It matches the Rfam family "Bacterial small subunit ribosomal RNA", at positions 524 to 773 of the family's 1533-position model. The record is from RNAcentral.
UACGUAGGGGGCAAGCGUUGUCCGGAAUCAUUGGGCGUAAAGCGCGUGUAGGCGGCUCGGUAAGUCUGCUGUGAAAGUCCAGGGCUCAACCCUGGAAUGCCGGUGGAAACUGUCGAGCUAGAGUACGGAAGAGGCGAGUGGAAUUCCUGGUGUAGCGGUGAAAUGCGCAGAUAUCAGGAGGAACACCAAUGGCGAAGGCAGCUCGCUGGGACGUUACUGACGCUGAGACGCGAAAGCGUGGGGAGCAAAC